RNAcentral lists this ribosomal RNA (399 nucleotides) under uncultured bacterium. RNAcentral's name for it is "bacterial SSU rRNA". It matches the Rfam family "Bacterial small subunit ribosomal RNA", at positions 357 to 773 of the family's 1533-position model. The record is from RNAcentral.
GGGAAUAUUGGACAAUGGGGGCAACCCUGAUCCAGCAAUGCCGCGUGAGUGAUGAAGGCCUUAGGGUUGUAAAGCUCUUUCGACGGGAGCGAUGAUGACGGUACCCGUAGAAGAAGCCCCGGCUAACUUCGUGCCAGCAGCCGCGGUAAUACGAAGGGGGCUAGCGUUGUUCGGAAUUACUGGGCGUAAAGGGCGCGUAGGCGGCCGAUCAAGUCAGGCGUGAAAGCCCCGGGCUUAACCUGGGAACUGCGUUUGGGACUGGUUGGCUUGAGUUCGGGAGAGGAGAGUGGAAUUCCCAGUGUAGAGGUGAAAUUCGUAGAUAUUGGGAAGAACACCGGUGGCGAAGGCGGCUCUCUGGACCGAUACUGACGCUGAGGCGCGAAAGCGUGGGGAGCAAAC